This 58-nucleotide transfer RNA is filed under the name Urocitellus parryii (Arctic ground squirrel). Its description in RNAcentral is "Spermophilus parryii (Arctic ground squirrel) tRNA". It matches the Rfam family "tRNA", at positions 8 to 63 of the family's 71-position model. Rfam says of the family: Transfer RNA (tRNA) molecules are approximately 80 nucleotides in length. Their secondary structure includes four short double-helical elements and three loops (D, anti-codon, and T loops). Lineage: Eukaryota; Metazoa; Chordata; Mammalia; Rodentia; Sciuridae. RNAcentral also lists the same sequence under 2 other names. The record is from Rfam by way of RNAcentral.
UAGCUCAGUUGGCAGAGUGCUUGCCUUGCAGGCAAAAGACCCUGGGUUCAAUCCCCAG